Long non-coding RNA from Triticum dicoccoides, 1404 nucleotides. RefSeq lists it as uncharacterized. The record is from RefSeq and is a predicted model, not a curated record. The transcript is spliced from 4 exons. NCBI's taxonomy places the organism in Eukaryota, Viridiplantae, Streptophyta, Magnoliopsida, Poales, Poaceae.
CUUUCAAGUUUCAACCCAGCAACCUUUGUGUACAUACAUGUGUUAUCAAGGAUGCACGGAUCCAUUGGCAUGCGUACCACACAUCCCCUGACUAAUUCUAUCAGUGUCAUUCUUAACAAGGUAAGUAUGAUUGCCUAAUCUCUGAUUUUCUUAAUUGAUCUUUGGUCCUUGAUCCCUAAUGUCGUUAUAUUUUAUUGAUUUUAUAAAUGAUCUCAAACAAGAAUAUACCAUUUUUAGGCUACAGUUCCUAUAACUUGCCUUGUCAAUUUGAUAAAAUUACAUGUGUGAUGGAGGUUGUAACUUAUUACAGUUUACAUUGUCAAAAUUCUUCAAACCCUAUGUCGAUCCUCACUAUCUUUGAAACAAUCUGAUUUCUGUGUCAUUGCUAAGAAUAUGUAUAUAUUUGGUGUGCUGGAUUUUCUGAUGUAAGAGGAAGCUAUUCGACAAUCCUGCUCAAGUUGGUAUAGAUUAUAUCGAUUUUAUUCAGUAAAUAUUUAUGCUUGAUAGAUGAAAGCCUCCCUCUUCUGCCCUUCUUUUCUCCAUCCUCUAUAGGUCGCGAGCACAUGUGAAUCAUUGUCGUCAAGAGCAUGCUUGUGACAUCAUUACUAUACGUGAUGCAGCGCAAAAGGAUGUUGUCAGGAGUUAAGUGUUCAAGCGCAAUCUCUAGCCAAGUUUCUUUUGUUGUUGUGUUGAAUUUUGGGGAAAGGCAGCAAAGCAGCUCGUGGCAUUUGUGUCGCGCCUGCUCCGCCGCUGCCUUGACUCGCCGACGACAUCGCCCGUUGGGCUGCAGGGGUGCAAGACGACCGUGGGGCCCAUUGCAUGGGUGCUGAGUAUGCUUGAUUUCCAUGUCGGAGACGAAGGCCCUAGAGCUUGGUGGCUUUGUGACAAGUCGUGUGAGAUGAAGGUGGUGAACCAUCUCAAUAUGAAGCCAAGUAUGUGGUGGAUUUUCCAUGGAUGAUGGUAGACCGAUAGGCGGCUGGGUGCAUGAAUAAUUGUCAAGGUGGCCGAAGCUAGCGCUAUUUUUGUUGGACUGAAGGAAUUGUAUAAGUUAUUUCGAGGCUCCCUAGUGGUGGAGAUCGACUACGCAGUGGGGAAAGGAGCUAGGGGUUGAUUUUGUAAGAAGAUCAUUGUCCGACGCAAUUAUUGUUGAUAUUAAAUCCGCCGAAGCUCCUGGAGACCUUAUGGUUGCGGAAGGUGUCGCGGACCAAUUACAUGCUCUGCUAUGGAAGGAAAACGAUGCAGCCUUGACGUCGGCCUAAGUCUUGAUGUAAUCCUCAAAAGAGAUAUUGCUUGCAGAUUGGUUAUAUAGAAACAUGCAUGUUGUAGGACUGUUAAUUUUUGUUUUGGAAUACUAAGAUCUGUUCAGAUGCUUUCCUUACUCUUAUGGAUAAAAAAUUCACAAGA